UAGUACAAAAUGAAAACUUAUGAAUUGUUUAUUUCUGGAAUUUUUCAUUUAAUAUUUUCAGAUGAUGGUUCAGGUCAAGUAACAGAAACUAUAGAUAAAGGGGGCUACUCUACUACACAAUACGAAGAUUCUGCCUGAGUGCCUUCAAGCUGGGAUUUUGUCUUCCCCUGUCUUCUGUUUCGUACUUGGAAUGGAACUAUACCAUCAGCUCUCCUGGGCCCCCAAGCUUGCUGACAGCAGGUCUUGGAACUUCUCAGUCUCUAAAAUUGAUAUGUGAUCCUUAAGCACCGAAGUGAAUAAACGUUAUAAUGGGAUGCAAAUUAAGCAGUUUGAUAUUUCCUUAAGAUCUUCAAAAAGAGAAAAGCCAUCUGCCCCGAUGAUAGAUGUUCCUCUCCUGAAGGCACUGAAUGAUCUUCAAGAUACUUCUGUCUUGAUUGCUGUUGCAUCACCCAACAAUUUGGAUUUUUAACUGAUCAUCUUCCUCAGUCUUGUGUGAAAUGGCUUGAAGGAGGCAAGAGUGUGAACAAUCUGAAUGAAUAAUAUAUGAUUGAAAUAGUUCCUGUGGAGAAAUCAUGGUGAUUGUAUUGGUGGUGCUGUAAGGGGGAUAAAGUGAACAGAUGUACUUUGGAGAUAGGUCUUGGAGCAGGAUUGCAUGCUAGAAGUGAGAGAGGGAGAGUUAACAGAAAUCAUUCCUAGUAGUCUUGCUUAAUCAACUAAGUGCAUGGUAGAACCAUCUACUGAAGUAGGGAAGAUCAGGAAAAAUGUACAUUUCUGGGGGAUGAUCCAGAACUGGUUUUAAGAUUAUACUCACAAGAUGUCAAUUAGGUUGCCAACUAGGUAUGCCAAUUAUAGCCUUGGUUAUAAAAUUAUAGGCAAGACUACAGUUUAUUUUAAGAAGGACAUAGUGUCAAUAUGUCACAAUCUAUUGAGAGGGCAAGUAAACUGCUGUCAGCUGGGUCAUUAAUUCAUUAGAUAUUUACUGAACAGAAAGCCAGAUUCCUGAUGUGCGGGAAGAUGUACAAAGUAUAGCUACAGGUGUUGGAUGGCUAAGUCACAGCAAUAAGGGUGAACUCUGAAGAAUACCUGGGCCGGGUGCGGUGGCUCAAGCCUAUAAUCCCAGCACUUUGGGAGACCAAGGCGGGUAGAUCACGAGGUCAACAUAUGGAGACCAUCCUGGUCAACAUGGUGAAACCCCGUCUCUACUAAAAAUACAAAAAAUUGGCUGGGCAUGGUGGCGCGUGCCUGUAAGCCCAGCUACUCAGGAAGCUGAGGCAGGAGAAUUGCCUGAACCCAGGAGGUGGAGGUUGCGGUGAGCCGAGAUCGCGCCAUUGCACUCCAGCCUGGGGUAACAAGAACUAAACUCCGUCUCAAAAUAAAAAAUAAAAAUAAAAGAAUACCUUAGAUCCAGAGAGAAGGUAGAAAGAAAGACAUUCAUUCAUUCUUUCACUCAUUUAUUCACUCAUUCAUAUAACAAACAGUGUUUGAGUACUAGUCCAAGUAAAAGAAACCACGUACACAAAUCCAUGACUUUAGAAUAGGCCAAGCUUUUCAUUAGAACAAAGAGCAGCAUACUGCUACCAGAGUUUUUGAUUGGCAAAUCCUGUACUUUAAUUUCUACUGUAAUUUCUCUUCUAUGCAGAAAACAAUGUAUUUUUCUUAGGAUAAAGAAAGAAAAUGAUUUAUUUUCACUGAAGAACCCAUUAAUGCAGUGUCUUUGCAGAAAAUCAUAGAGGACUAAAUUCAUUCAAGUAGUUUUGGAUUAACUAAUAAGCAUUUUGCAUUAAACUUAACCUGAUAGUGAUAUAAAAGUAGUCAAAGAAAUUGUAUGACAAGGGUAUAAUUAGAAAACUGAGUGCUAAACAAUGGCAUAUUGACCAGAAAUAUAAUCCAAUAAAUAUGAAUUAAACUCAAAAUAUAGUUUUCCUGAAAAUAAAUGAAGAUGUUAUCUAAUAAUACAUUCUGAAUCAUCAGUCUCCUCCAUCCUUCACCUUACUUAGCUUUUGCUAAAGAUACAGUGAUUUCUGUUCCAUUGUGUGCGAUGAGAAAAAUAUGCCAUGACUUUACUAUAUUUUUCAUUAAGGUUAGAAAAGAAAACGUCUUGGAAAGACUGUAAUAUAGUAUCUGAGGCUGGAAGAGUUUUAACAUUUACAUAGAAAAUAACGCCAUUUUCCCUUGAAGGACGAAAUCAGGCUAUAAAAGGUCCCUUCUCUGAGCUUUGCCCAGGCCAUGAUCUUGGGACUAUCAGCUAUAAUGAGUGCUGUGUGGCUAAGUCCCUAUGCAUUGUACUGAAUAUUUAUCCUGACAAAGUGUCUGUAGAUAUAAUGAAUGUAACAGCCACAUUAGAAUUACAAGCUGUAAAAAAACAUUGCAGUAUGAAUUAUUUGUCAAGAAAUAAAAGAUGCA
This is a long non-coding RNA of Callithrix jacchus (white-tufted-ear marmoset), 2403 nucleotides long. NCBI's taxonomy places the organism in Eukaryota, Metazoa, Chordata, Mammalia, Primates, Cebidae. The record is from Ensembl.